AUUGAACGCUGCGGCAUGCCUUACCCCUGCCAGUCGAACGGCAGCACGGGUGCUUGCACCUGGUGGCGAGUGGCGAACGGGUGAGUAAUACAUCGGAACAUGUCCUGUAGUGGGGGAUAGCCCGGCGAAAGCCGGAUUAAUACCGCAUACGAUCUACGGAUGAAAGCGGGGGACCUUCGGGCCUCGCGCUAUAGGGUUGGCCGAUGGCUGAUUAGCUAGUUGGUGGGGUAAAGGCCUACCAAGGCGACGAUCAGUAGCUGGUCUGAGAGGACGACCAGCCACACUGGGACUGAGACACGGCCCAGACUCCUACGGGAGGCAGCAGUGGGGAAUUUUGGACAAUGGGCGAAAGCCUGAUCCAGCAAUGCCGCGUGUGUGAAGAAGGCCUUCGGGUUGUAAAGCACUUUUGUCCGGAAAGAAAUCCUUGGCCCUAAUACGGUCGGGGGAUGACGGUACCGGAAGAAUAAGCACCGGCUAACUACGUG
RNAcentral lists this ribosomal RNA (485 nucleotides) under uncultured bacterium. RNAcentral describes it as "partial 16S ribosomal RNA". It matches the Rfam family "Bacterial small subunit ribosomal RNA", at positions 30 to 507 of the family's 1533-position model. The record is from RNAcentral.